RNAcentral lists this ribosomal RNA (465 nucleotides) under uncultured bacterium. RNAcentral describes it as "partial 16S ribosomal RNA". It matches the Rfam family "Bacterial small subunit ribosomal RNA", at positions 28 to 507 of the family's 1533-position model. The record is from RNAcentral.
GACGAACGCUGGCGGCGUGCUUAACACAUGCAAGUCGUACGGUAAGGCCCUUUCGGGGGUACACGAGUGGCGAACGGGUGAGUAACACGUGAGUAACCUGCCCACAACUUUGGGAUAACGCUAGGAAACUGGUGCUAAUACUGGAUAUGUGCUCCUGCUGCAUGGUGGGGGUUGGAAAGCUCCGGCGGUUGUGGAUGGACUCGCGGCCUUUCAGCUUGUUGGUGGGGUAGUGGCCUACCAAGGCGGCGACGGGUAGCCGGCCUGGGAGGGUGACCGGCCACAUUGGGACUGGGAUACGGCCCAGACUCCUACGGGAGGCAGCAGUGGGGAAUAUUGCACAAUGGGCGCAAGCCUGAUGCAGCAACGCCGCGUGCGGGAUGACGGCCUUCGGGUUGUAAACCGCUUUCAGCAGGGACGAAGCUUUUUGUGACGGUACCUGCAGAAGAAGCACCGGCUAACUACGUG